RNAcentral lists this ribosomal RNA (490 nucleotides) under uncultured bacterium. Its description in RNAcentral is "partial 16S ribosomal RNA". It matches the Rfam family "Bacterial small subunit ribosomal RNA", at positions 30 to 507 of the family's 1533-position model. The record is from RNAcentral.
AUUGAACGCUGGCGGCAUGCCUUACACAUGCAAGUCGAACGGCAGCAUGAUCUAGCUUGCUCGAUUGAUGGCGAGUGGCGAACGGGUGAGUAAUACAUCGGAACGUGCCCUGUAGUGGGGGAUAACUAGUCGAAAGAUUAGCUAAUACCGCAUACGACCUGAGGGUGAAAGUGGGGGACCGCAAGGCCUCAUGCUAUAGGAGCGGCCGAUGUCUGAUUAGCUAGUUGGUGGGGUAAAGGCCCACCAAGGCGACGAUCAGUAGCUGGUCUGAGAGGACGAUCAGCCACACUGGGACUGAGACACGGCCCAGACUCCUACGGGAGGCAGCAGUGGGGAAUUUUGGACAAUGGGGGCAACCCUGAUCCAGCAAUGCCGCGUGUGUGAAGAAGGCCUUCGGGUUGUAAAGCACUUUUGUCCGGAAAGAAAUCGCACUUACUAAUAUUAGGUGUGGAUGACGGUACCGGAAGAAUAAGGACCGGCUAACUACGUG